UCCCAUGUGGUCUAGUGGUUAAGACUCUGCUUCCAGUGCCGGGGGCACAGGUUCAAUUCCUGGUCUGGGAA
RNAcentral lists this transfer RNA (71 nucleotides) under Ovis aries (sheep). It matches the Rfam family "tRNA". Rfam says of the family: Transfer RNA (tRNA) molecules are approximately 80 nucleotides in length. The record is from Rfam by way of RNAcentral. Lineage: Eukaryota; Metazoa; Chordata; Mammalia; Artiodactyla; Bovidae.